GAUGUUGUGGGGCAGCCGUGGUUAGCACUUCGGACUUGUAACCGGAGGGUUGCCGGUUCGAACCCCGACUAGUAGGA
Molecule: transfer RNA, 77 nt
Filed under: Alosa alosa (allis shad)
Lineage: Eukaryota; Metazoa; Chordata; Actinopteri; Clupeiformes; Clupeidae
Description: tRNA-OTHER
Source: RNAcentral